GCGAAGGUGGCGAAUUGGUAGACGCGCUAGCUUCAGGUGUUAGUGUUCUUACGGACGUGGGGGUUCAAGUCCCCCCCCUCGCACCA
RNAcentral lists this transfer RNA (86 nucleotides) under Escherichia coli. RNAcentral's name for it is "tRNA-Leu". It matches the Rfam family "tRNA". Rfam says of the family: Transfer RNA (tRNA) molecules are approximately 80 nucleotides in length. Their secondary structure includes four short double-helical elements and three loops (D, anti-codon, and T loops). Further hydrogen bonds mediate the characteristic L-shaped molecular structure. tRNAs have two regions of fundamental functional importance: the anti-codon, which is responsible for specific mRNA codon recognition, and the 3' end, to which the tRNAs corresponding amino acid is attached (by aminoacyl-tRNA synthetases). tRNAs cope with the degeneracy of the genetic code in two manners: having more than one tRNA (with a specific anti-codon) for a particular amino acid; and 'wobble' base-pairing, i.e. permitting non-standard base-pairing at the 3rd anti-codon position. Lineage: Bacteria; Pseudomonadati; Pseudomonadota; Gammaproteobacteria; Enterobacterales; Enterobacteriaceae. RNAcentral also lists the same sequence under 1 other name. The record is from RNAcentral.